UUUUAUGGAGAGUUUGAUCCUGGCUCAGGAUGAACGCUGGCGGCGUGCCUAAUACAUGCAAGUCGAGCGAACGGACGAGAAGCUUGCUUUUCUGAUGUUAGCGGCGGACGGGGGAGUAACACGUGGAUAACCUACCUAUAAGACUGGGAUAACUUCGGGAAACCGGAGCUAAUACCGG
This 178-nucleotide ribosomal RNA is filed under the name Staphylococcus aureus. Its description in RNAcentral is "partial 16S ribosomal RNA". It matches the Rfam family "Bacterial small subunit ribosomal RNA", at positions 1 to 172 of the family's 1533-position model. The record is from RNAcentral. Lineage: Bacteria; Bacillati; Bacillota; Bacilli; Caryophanales; Staphylococcaceae.